AGAGCGAACGCUGGCGGCAGGCCUAACACAUGCAAGUCGAGCGCCCGUAGCAAUACGGGAGCGGCAGACGGGAUAGUAACACGUGGGAACGCGCCCUUCGGUUCGGAAUAACUCAGGGAAACUUGAGCUAAUACCGAAUACGCCCUUACGGGGAAAGAUUUAUUGCCGAAGGAACGGCCCGCGUCCGAUUAGCUAGUUGGUGAGGUAAUGGCUCACCAAGGCUACGAUCGGUAGCUGGUCUGAGAGGAUGACCAGCAUCACUGGGACUGAGACACGGCCCAGACUCCUACGGGAGGCAGCAGUGGGGAAUAUUGGACAAUGGGCGCAAGCCUGAUCCAGCCAUGCCGCGUGGAUGAUGAAGGCCUUAGGGUUGUAAAGUCCGUUUUAACGGGGAAGUAUAAUGACGGUACCCGUAGAAUAAGCCCCGGCUAACUUCGUGCCAGCAGCCGC
RNAcentral lists this ribosomal RNA (450 nucleotides) under uncultured bacterium. RNAcentral's name for it is "SSU rRNA". It matches the Rfam family "Bacterial small subunit ribosomal RNA", at positions 26 to 518 of the family's 1533-position model. The record is from RNAcentral.